RNAcentral lists this ribosomal RNA (527 nucleotides) under uncultured bacterium. RNAcentral's name for it is "bacterial SSU rRNA". It matches the Rfam family "Bacterial small subunit ribosomal RNA", at positions 777 to 1304 of the family's 1533-position model. The record is from RNAcentral.
AAUAGAUACCCAGGUAGUCCAUGCCGUAAACGUUGGGCACUAGGUGUGGGGCUCAUUCCACGAGUUCCGUGCCGCAGCAAACGCAUUAAGUGCCCCGCCUGGGGAGUACGGCCGCAAGGCUAAAACUCAAAGAAAUUGACGGGGGCCCGCACAAGCGGCGGAGCAUGCGGAUUAAUUCGAUGCAACGCGAAGAACCUUACCAAGGCUUGACAUACACCGGAAAAGUGCAGAGAUGUGCUCCCCGCAAGGUCGGUGUACAGGUGGUGCAUGGUUGUCGUCAGCUCGUGUCGUGAGAUGUUGGGUUAAGUCCCGCAACGAGCGCAACCCUCGUCCCAUGUUGCCAGCGGGUUAUGCCGGGGACUCAUGGGAGACUGCCGGGGUCAACUCGGAGGAAGGUGGGGAUGACGUCAAAUCAUCAUGCCCCUUAUGUCUUGGGCUUCACGCAUGCUACAAUGGCCGGUACAAAGGGCUGCGAUACCGCAAGGUGGAGCGAAUCCCAAAAAGCCGGUCUCAGUUCGGAUUGGGGU